UGGGGAAUAUUGCGCAAUGGGCGGAAGCCUGACGCAGCGACGCCGCGUGGGGGAUGAAGGCCUUCGGGUUGUAAACCUCUUUCAGCGCCGAAGAAGCGUGAGUGACGGUAGGCGCAGAAGAAGCACCGGCUAACUACGUGCCAGCAGCCGCGGUAAUACGUAGGGUGCAAGCGUUGUCCGGAAUUAUUGGGCGUAAAGAGCUCGUAGGCGGUUUGUCGCGUCGGCUGUGAAAACUCGGGGCUUAACUCCGGGCUUGCAGUGGGUACGGGCAGACUGGAGUGCGGUAGGGGAGACUGGAAUGCCUGGUGUAGCGGUGAAAUGCGCAGAUAUCAGGAGGAACACCGGUGGCGAAGGCGGGUCUCUGGGCUGUAACUGACGCUGAGGGACGAAAGCGUGGGGAGCGAACA
Molecule: ribosomal RNA, 407 nt
Filed under: uncultured prokaryote
Description: bacterial SSU rRNA
Rfam family: Bacterial small subunit ribosomal RNA
Source: RNAcentral